AGGUGGAAAUACAAAUGGUAUAGAAAAUGAUUCCAACAACAUACACGAAGGAAGCAAUAAUCAAUCUUUACCAGAAGCGAACAUCCAAACGGUACAAUCCAUACCCCCUGGUACAGUCAGCAUACAGGAAGGUACAAGUCUUGAAACUGCAGAUGUGCCAAGUGCCAUUAGUCAGCUGCACUCGUGGAGAGUACGGAGGCCAACUCAAGAAAGCGUGACCCCUCCUGGAAACCAAAGAGAUGGAGAACGUGAUCCAUUACCACUUUAAAAAUAGGAUAACUAAUUGAAGAAGAACUAACGACAACUGAAAAACUGAAUUACUAUAUAAUAUAUUCAGAGCGGGUGUUACGUAGGUUUCCAGAUUUAAUUUUGAAAUCAGGGGGGUGGAAGUACAUAUUAUGACUUCCACAGAGGAAAUUUCACAAUUUCGUAAUUCUCCUAAUGGGUAUGUAAACAUUGUAAAUUUAAAAACCGAUAACGUGUGAUAAAUCUUUAACUUGUACUAUAUAACAUAAA
Long non-coding RNA from Dendronephthya gigantea, 516 nucleotides. RefSeq lists it as uncharacterized. The transcript has 3 exons. The record is from RefSeq and is a predicted model, not a curated record. NCBI's taxonomy places the organism in Eukaryota, Metazoa, Cnidaria, Anthozoa, Malacalcyonacea, Nephtheidae.